UGGGGAAUAUUGCACAAUGGGCGAAAGCCUGAUGCAGCAACGCCGCGUGAGUGAUGAAGGCCUCCGGGUUGUAAAGCUCUGUCUUCUGGGACGAUAAUGACGGUACCAGAGGAGGGAGCCACGGCUAACUACGUGCCAGCAGCCGCGGUAAUACGUAGGUGGCAAGCGUUGUCCGGAUUUACUGGGCGUAAAGGAUGCGUAGGCGGAUACUUAAGUCAGAUGUGAAAAUCCCGGGCUUAACUUGGGAACUGCAUUUGAAACUGGGUAUCUAGAGUGCGGGAGAGGAAAGUGGAAUUCCUAGUGUAGCGGUGAAAUGCGUAGAGAUUAGGAAGAACACCAGUGGCGAAGGCGACUUUCUGAACCGUAACUGACGCUGAGGCAUGAAAGCGUGGGGAGCAAACA
This 402-nucleotide ribosomal RNA is filed under the name uncultured bacterium. RNAcentral's name for it is "bacterial SSU rRNA". It matches the Rfam family "Bacterial small subunit ribosomal RNA", at positions 355 to 774 of the family's 1533-position model. The record is from RNAcentral.